Molecule: long non-coding RNA, 1044 nt
Organism: Tupaia belangeri chinensis (Chinese tree shrew)
Lineage: Eukaryota; Metazoa; Chordata; Mammalia; Scandentia; Tupaiidae
Exons: 3
Source: RefSeq, a predicted model, not a curated record
GGUCUACACUGGCUCAGUACAAAAGUACCUCCCAUAGACCUCACAGCUAGAACUCCAGUGUCACUACCUGAACCGUGAGACAGGAAGGCACAGCCUCGCCUGGCUAAGCUCAUAGAGAAGAUUGAAAAACAAACCGUAUCAAAUUGGCAGUGAGGAGAAGAAAAGGUGCAUAAACCUCCCACUUUGAAAGAAGAUUGAAUAAUUCCAGGAUUUGUAUGUGGCCUACAUCUGGCCAGAUACAAUAGAUAACAAUUAUCACCUUGAAGAUACGUGACCCAGUCUGGUGGAAGACACACCUUUUUGGGAGUGCUAACCUUGGAUACUGACAUUUUGUACUUGGAAAGAUCUUGAAAGUGAAUUGAAACCAACCCAAAGGAAAACAGAAACUGUAUUUUGUAACUCCAGCCCAUCUCACUUUGUAAUGUGAAAGAAAAUGACAUCAUUAAGGCUAAAACUUUCUAGAGUGGAUUUGAGAGAUUGCAAGAGGACUGAAGGUAAAGGUAAAGACACAGAAUGUUCCAAUAGACUUGGAUAAACAACUAAAGUCAGUAUCUUGCAGCCUUCAGCAUCUCAGCUGCGAGCACCAUAAUUAACCAAUAAGAAUGGAUUUACAAUUUGGAAUUUCUGCCCAGACAAUGAACUGCCUCCAAAACAGCACUGUGGAAAUGCCCUGGAACAACCCUUGACUGCGUGCUUGCCUUAUGUCACACCACUCAGGGCUGCCUUGAUUCAGCAAUUCUUUGUUUCUCGAGUAAAUGGUAUUUCUUUUUACCCCCAAGUCAAUCUUUUGUGAACAAUAAUAACCACAUCUCAAGGGCUCCUAAACCACAGGUGGUUGUUGGCUACGACAUUGAAGAACACAAGUCUUUGCAAUGAGCCACUGACAGUUUGGAACAGGACUGUCACAUUAUGAGUUUGUUAAAAGUACACAGAAGACAACAGAAAGAGCUCCCAGUGGACAAGAUUGAAAUAAUUUGGGCAAGGGAAUAAUAUAACUCAAAGUAUAAAACUAUUAUAAAGUAUAAAAUAAAUAGCCAUCAUUUA